AGACCCGAAACCCGGUGAUCUAGCCAUGGGCAGGUUGAAGGUUGGGUAACACUAACUGGAGGACCGAACCGACUAAUGUUGAAAAAUUAGCGGAUGACCUGUGGCUGGGGGUGAAAGGCCAAUCAAACCGGGAGAUAGCUGGUUCUCCCCGAAAGCUAUUUAGGUAGCGCCUCGUGAACUCAUCUCCGGGGGUAGAGCACUGUUUCGGCUAGGGGGCCAUCCCGGCUUACCAACCCGAUGCAAACUGCGAAUACCGGAGAAUGUUAUCACGGGAGACACACGGCGGGUGCUAACGUCCGUCGUGAAGAGGGAAACAACCCAGACCGCCAGCUAAGGUCCCAAAGUCAUGGUUAAGUGGGAAACGAUGUGGGAAGGCCCAGACAGCCAGGAUGUUG
Molecule: ribosomal RNA, 395 nt
Filed under: Salmonella enterica
Lineage: Bacteria; Pseudomonadati; Pseudomonadota; Gammaproteobacteria; Enterobacterales; Enterobacteriaceae
Also listed under: 1 other name
Description: partial 23S ribosomal RNA
Rfam family: Bacterial large subunit ribosomal RNA
Source: RNAcentral